UACAGAGGUCUCAAGCGUUGUUCGGAUUCAUUGGGCGUAAAGGGUGCGUAGGCGGUUCGGUAAGUCGGGUGUGAAAACUUUGGGCUCAACCCAAAGCGUGCACUCGAUACUGCCAUGACUAGAGUUCGGUAGGGGAGUGGGGAAUUCCUAGUGUAGCGGUGAAAUGCGCAGAUAUUAGGAGGAACACCGGUGGCGAAGGCGCCACUCUGGGCCGAAACUGACGCUGAGGAGCGAAAGCGUGGGGAGCGAACAGG
This 254-nucleotide ribosomal RNA is filed under the name uncultured bacterium. Its description in RNAcentral is "partial 16S ribosomal RNA". It matches the Rfam family "Bacterial small subunit ribosomal RNA", at positions 524 to 776 of the family's 1533-position model. The record is from RNAcentral.